RNAcentral lists this ribosomal RNA (494 nucleotides) under uncultured bacterium. RNAcentral's name for it is "partial 16S ribosomal RNA". It matches the Rfam family "Bacterial small subunit ribosomal RNA", at positions 28 to 507 of the family's 1533-position model. The record is from RNAcentral.
GACGAACGCUGGCGGCGCGCUUAACACAUGCAAGUCGAACGGAAAGGCCUGCUUUCCCUUGUGGAUUGCGGGUACUCGAGUGGCGAACGGGUGAGUAACACGUGAGCGAUCUGCCCCCAACUUGGGUAUAAGCCUGGGAAACUGGGUCUAAUUCCCGAUAGGACUGCAGGGUGGUGCCUGUGGUGGAAAACGAUUUUCUAGUGGUUGGGGAUGAGCUCGCGGCCUAUCAGCUUGUUGGUGGGGUAAUGGCCUACCAAGGCGGCGACGGGUAGCCGGCCUGAGAGGGUGGACGGCCACAUUGGGACUGAGAUACGGCCCAGACUCCUACGGGAGGCAGCAGUGGGGAAUGUUGCACAAUGGGCGGAAGCCUGAUGCAGCGACGCCGCGUGGGGGAUGACGGCCUUCGGGUUGUAAACUCCUUUCGACCGCGAGGAAGCCACCUGGUUGGAAGGGUGGUGACGGUAGUGGUAGAAGAAGCACCGGCUAACUACGUG